UCCGUAGGUGAACCUGCGGAAGGAUCAUUACAGAAAGUAAACGCGGGUCAAACCGCGAACUUUUAAACCUUUGACGAUUGACUCGUGUUGCCUCGGCGGGCUCGCCCGCCAGAGGAUAUAUCAAAACUCCUAUUUUAACGGUGUUGUCUGAGCUACAAGCAACGAAUCAAAACUUUCAACAACGGAUCUCUUGGUUCUGGCAUCGAUGAAGAACGCAGCGAAAUGCGAUAAGUAGUGUGAAUUGCAGAAUUCAGUGAAUCAUCGAAUCUUUGAACGCACAUUGCGCCCCUUGGUAUCCCGAGGGGCAUGCCUGUUCGAGCGUCAUUACACCACUCAAGCCUGGCUUGGUGUUAGGCGACGUCCCCUUUGGGGACGCGCCUUAAAACGCUCGGCGGCGUGGCACCGGCUUUAAGCGUAGCAGAAUCUUUCGCUUCAAAGUU
RNAcentral lists this unclassified non-coding RNA (440 nucleotides) under Cenococcum geophilum. RNAcentral describes it as "partial contains ITS1, 5.8S rRNA and ITS2". The stretch from base 171 to 324 matches the Rfam family "5.8S ribosomal RNA". Lineage: Eukaryota; Fungi; Ascomycota; Dothideomycetes; Gloniales; Gloniaceae. The record is from RNAcentral.